AACGGUCUAUACCUGCGGUACCUGCGGAAGGAUCAUUACCGAGUUUACAAAACUCCCAAACCCUUUGUGAACCUUACCUAUCGUUGCUUCGGCGGGAACGCCCCGGCGCCCUCGCGGCCCGGAACCAGGCGCCCGCCGGAGGCCCCAAACCCUCAUGUCUUUAGUGGUUUCCUCCUCUGAGUGACAUAAACAAAUAAAGUAAAAACUUUCAGCAAUGGAUCUCUAGAUCGGAAGAGCACA
This 240-nucleotide unclassified non-coding RNA is filed under the name soil metagenome. RNAcentral's name for it is "partial contains 5.8S ribosomal RNA, internal transcribed spacer 2, and large subunit ribosomal RNA". The record is from RNAcentral.